RNAcentral lists this ribosomal RNA (253 nucleotides) under uncultured bacterium. RNAcentral describes it as "partial 16S ribosomal RNA". It matches the Rfam family "Bacterial small subunit ribosomal RNA", at positions 524 to 776 of the family's 1533-position model. The record is from RNAcentral.
UACGGAGGAUGCAAGCGUUAUCCGGAAUGAUUGGGCGUAAAGCGUCCGCAGGUGGCUAUGUAAGUCUGCUGUUAAAGAGUGAGGCUCAACCUCAUAAGAGCAGUGGAAACUACAUGGCUAGAGUGCGUUCGGGGCAGAGGGAAUUCCUGGUGUAGCGGUGAAAUGCGUAGAGAUCAGGAGGAACACCCGUGGCGAAGGCGGCCCUCUGGCUCGACCCUGACGCUGAGGCGCGAAAGCGUGGGGAGCGAACGGG